UCGGGAAUUUUGGGCAAUGGGGGAAACCCUGACCCAGCAACGCCGCGUGAAGGAUGAAGUAUUUCGGUAUGUAAACUUCGAAAGAAUAGGAAGAAUAAAUGACGGUACUAUUUAUAAGGUCCGGCUAACUACGUGCCAGCAGCCGCGGUAAUACGUAGGGACCAAGCGUUGUUCGGAUUUACUGGGCGUAAAGGGCGCGUAGGCGGCAUGACAAGUCACUUGUGAAAUCUCUGGGCUUAACCCAGAACGGCCAAGUGAUACUGUCGCGCUAGAGUGCAGAAGGGGCAAUCGGAAUUCUUGGUGUAGCGGUGAAAUGCGUAGAUAUCAAGAGGAACACCUGAGGUGAAGACGGGUUGCUGGGCUGACACUGACGCUGAGGCGUGAAAGCCAGGGGAGCAAACGGGAUUAGAUACCCCCGUAGUCCCUGAGCGGGCUGGCAAGGCGCAU
This 447-nucleotide ribosomal RNA is filed under the name uncultured bacterium. RNAcentral describes it as "bacterial SSU rRNA". It matches the Rfam family "Bacterial small subunit ribosomal RNA", at positions 355 to 825 of the family's 1533-position model. The record is from RNAcentral.